This 588-nucleotide ribosomal RNA is filed under the name Engraulis mordax (northern anchovy). RNAcentral describes it as "partial 16S ribosomal RNA". It matches the Rfam family "Bacterial large subunit ribosomal RNA", at positions 1813 to 2606 of the family's 2925-position model. Lineage: Eukaryota; Metazoa; Chordata; Actinopteri; Clupeiformes; Engraulidae. The record is from RNAcentral.
ACAUCGCCUCUUGCAUCCCAAAGUAUAAGAGGUCCCACCUGCCCUGUGACUCUAAGUUUAACGGCCGCGGUAUUCUAACCGUGCGAAGGUAGCGCAAUCAAUUGCCUUUUAAAUGAAGGCCUGUAUGAAUGGUAUAACGAGGGUCUGACUGUCUCUUUUUUCUAGUCAGUUAAACUGAUCUGUCCGUGCAGAAGCGGACAUUAUUAUACAAGACGAGAAGACCCUAUGGAGCUUUAGACACUAGCCAACUGUGAAUGAGCGACUGAACUAUACAAGUCUUAAAUACCCACAGCCUCUGGUAAUGUAGUCUUAGGUUGGGGCGACCACGGGAGAAAAUAAAGCUCCCAAGCAGACCGGGAAAACCCUUAAGCCCAGAGUUGCAACUCUAAGCCGCAAAAAUUUUGACUGAAAUGAUCCGGUUGAAAAACCGAUUAACGAACCAAGUUACCCUAGGGAUAACAGCGCAAUCCUCUCCCAGAGUCCCUAUCGACGAGGGGGUUUACGACCUCGAUGUUGGAUCAGGACAUCCUAAUGGUGCAGCCGCUAUUAAGGGUUCGUUUGUUCAACGAUUAAAGUCCUACGUGAUCU